This 233-nucleotide long non-coding RNA is filed under the name Gossypium barbadense (sea-island cotton). RNAcentral's name for it is "long non-coding RNA (GBAR_LNC002561)". The record is from RNAcentral. Lineage: Eukaryota; Viridiplantae; Streptophyta; Magnoliopsida; Malvales; Malvaceae.
GUGGUCACAGUAUUCAGAGGAGAAUCGCAGAGUUCCAAGUUGCACUAUCGACUUGCCCAACUUGCUAUAUCUUUCUCACAAAAACAUUGGACUCUGCUACCUUUUGUGUUUAUCUCAAGCUCAUCAUCAUACCAUAUUUUAAACACUAAAUUUGAAUCAUAUUAUAUAAAAAGAAAAAGUUCUCUCUCAAGUCUCAAUGAAACAUGGCGCUAGCGUUGUCCACGGAAUCAAGC